AACUAACGCUGGCGGCGUGCCUAACACAUGCAAGUCGUACGAGAAAGCCGGCUUCGGCUGGUGAGUAAAGUGGCGCACGGGUGAGUAACGCGUGGAUAAUCUGCCCUUAAGUGUGGAAUAACGUACCGAAAGGUGCGCUAAUACCGCAUAAUGCCUGGCAACACAAGUUGUCCGGCCAAAGAAGGCCUCUGUUUACAAGCUUUCGCUUCAGGAUGAGUCCGCGUACCAUUAGCUUGUUGGUGGGGUAAUGGCCUACCAAGGCUGCGAUGGUUAGCUGGUCUGAGAGGACGAUCAGCCACACUGGAACUGAGACACGGUCCAGACUCCUACGGGAGGCAGCAGUGAGGAAUAUUGCGCAAUGGGGGCAACCCUGACGCAGCAACGCCGCGUGAGUGAAGAAGGCCUUCGGGUUGUAAAGCUCUUUCGGCCGGGAAGAAAUCGUAUGGGUUAAUACCCUGUGCGGAUGACGGUACCGGCAUAAGAAGCACCGGCUAACUACGUG
This 502-nucleotide ribosomal RNA is filed under the name uncultured bacterium. RNAcentral's name for it is "bacterial SSU rRNA". It matches the Rfam family "Bacterial small subunit ribosomal RNA", at positions 29 to 507 of the family's 1533-position model. The record is from RNAcentral.